RNAcentral lists this ribosomal RNA (429 nucleotides) under Pseudomonas aeruginosa. Its description in RNAcentral is "partial 23S ribosomal RNA". It matches the Rfam family "Bacterial large subunit ribosomal RNA", at positions 1 to 469 of the family's 2925-position model. The record is from RNAcentral. Lineage: Bacteria; Pseudomonadati; Pseudomonadota; Gammaproteobacteria; Pseudomonadales; Pseudomonadaceae.
GGUUAAGCGACUAAGCGUACACGGUGGAUGCCCUGGCAGUCAGAGGCGAUGAAGGACGUGCUAAUCUGCGAAAAGCGUCGGUAAGGUGAUAUGAACCGUUAUAGCCGGCGAUGUCCGAAUGGGGAAACCCAGUGCAAUUCGUUGCACUAUCGUUAACUGAAUACAUAGGUUAACGAGGCGAACCGGGGGAACUGAAACAUCUAAGUACCCCGAGGAAAAGAAAUCAACCGAGAUUCCCCCAGUAGCGGCGAGCGAACGGGGAGCAGCCCAGAGUCUGAAUCAGCUUGUGUGUUAGUGGAACGGUCUGGAAAGUCCGACGGUACAGGGUGAUAGUCCCGUACACCAAAAUGCACAGGCUGUGAACUCGAAGAGUAGGGCGGGACACGUGGUAUCCUGUCUGAAUAUGGGGGGACCAUCCUCCAAGGCUAA